GGAGCAAUGGGGUCCAGGCAUUGCAAGGGGAUUUCAUUGUUGCACUCAGGAUUGCAAUGUUUCCUGUCAUGUCACCUUAUGUAUACUCCAGUUACAACAGAUCUAUCACACAACAAAUUAUUUCAGGAUAAAAUUCAGUUGUACACCAUAGACCAUGUUGUUCUACAUGGUCAUGCACAUAUCCAGGCAGCAAUCUCAAUUAUGGACAGAAUGAGUUCCUCCCUACUGUCAGCAAUGCAUGGAACAUUCUAAUAGGAUUGAACCCAAUAUUGUUAACCUCUUCAGGUGCAACUUUCCGACAGGAACUUUCAGCCUUUUGAUGAUAUUAUGGUGCGAUAACUUUGUCCCAUACUGUCAAUGCUAAAUAACUUAAGUUAUCUUCAUUAUAUCCUUCUUUUUGUUUAUGUUACUCAAUUUUAUUCUUAUGGUUAUGUUUGUAUCUUUUUCAUGUGAUUAUGUUUGAAAGCACCAAAUAAUCUGCUGCAAUCCUCUAAAUGUAGUUGAUACAUGUCCUGUGUCAUAUUUAGUACUCCCUCCGUCUCAUGAAAUUUGUCUGAGAAUUGUCUAAAUUUAGAUGUAUCUAGAAACUAAAUAGUAUGUAGAUACAUCUAAAUUUUGACAAACUUUGACAUGUUUCGUGGGACAGAGGGACUAUUAUAGUUUUCUUUCAUUGGGUUCUCGGGCAUAAACUAUUCUAUAUCUGUUGUGCCUGAAUAAGUCGUUCAUUUAUGUUUGGUCAUAAUUUGCCUUGUUUUUCUUUUUUCCUGACCAUAGAUGUGAUUUCGUUAGUUUCGUUAUCCAUUGGUGGUGAUUUUAUGAGCACUGUGGACGUCAAGCGUCCCGAAGAAGAAUUAGGUGGCCUUGUUACACUAAAAUUUUGGAACUAUGUCUAGUGCUGGACAGUUUCAUUUGUCCACCGACGUUUAUGAGUCUCAGAGGUGUGGUCUCAAAGUUCAUCUUUGCAAAGCGAUGAAAAAGGUCAAUCUGGAUGGAGAUGCCAAUUAGUUCUCAUGUUAUGAUUCAAAUUGCUGGUUCCUCGUACCAAAACGGUUGCACGCACUGCAUGUUGUUCUUCAAGUAAGACUGAACUUUCUCUUCUAAACUGUCCUCAAGGAGGAACACCAGCAGAGCAAGACAGUGUAAUACUGCUAUUCGAUGCAGAAAAUUCGAGCCUAGUAUCGUCCUUCUCUGUACAGAAGGCUAUAGGAGGUAGCAUUGCUUUUGUGAAGGAUAAUUCCUCUAUUGAUGCAGCCACCAAUGCCAUGAGAGGUGAAGAUGCUUCAUUGUGAUUUAUGUAAAUGGUUCACAUGAGUAUGUUAUCUUUGAUCCCCGAGACAAUGAAUAGCCGCAAAUUAGCAAGUGGACACAGAAAAGAAUCUAAACUGAUGAACCUGCAGGAAUUUGUUAUGCUUCUAUCUAUGGUGAGCUUACCAAACAGGAAGUGAAGGUUUCGGAUGUUUUGUCAGGCCAUAUAAUGGUGGCAAACGAGUGAGAAGAACUGAAGUUUUGUCCGGCCAUAUAAUGGUAUUACUUGCCUGUUGCAAAUAUCUAUACACAGGGCCAAAUGAUAACGAAGAGAAGAGGUAGCAUCAAUAUAUGUUCAGGGAGCUGCACUAUCAUUGACAUGAACGCUUUGUCAGAUAUGCAAAAACAACCACCUGACUGUGGCCGUAUUUAGCAAAAGAAAUUGCACCAAGAAAGUUGAAACAAAAAAGCCAGGCCCUAAUGUCAAGGGCAUGCCACCACAGGAAGAUGCAAUUGCGCUAUUUUUUUUACGACUGUGCAUCCCGCUAUCUGGGGAAGAUCUUUUCACUGCAUUUUUUUUUUCGCCAUGCGAACACAUAUUUAUGUGCAUGAUCACGGCUGGGCGGUGCCUCUUUUUUUUGUGCUCUUUGGCAUCUUUCGCAGCUGACAG
This is a long non-coding RNA of Lolium perenne, 1915 nucleotides long. RefSeq lists it as uncharacterized. The record is from RefSeq and is a predicted model, not a curated record. NCBI's taxonomy places the organism in Eukaryota, Viridiplantae, Streptophyta, Magnoliopsida, Poales, Poaceae.